GGAUGUGAGGGUGAUCUGGCUGCGACAUCUGUCACCCCAUUGAUCGCCAGGGUUGAUUCGGCUGAUCUGGCUGCUAGGCGGGUGUCCCCUUCCUCCCUCACAGCUCCAUGUGCGUCCCUCCCAAAGCUGCGCACUCGGUCGAAGAGGACGGCCUUCCCCGAAUAGAGACGGACCGGUCUUUGGUCGAGGCUAUAAAAGUAGCUGUGCUUCCCUGCUAGAACCUCCAAACAAGCUCUCAAGGUCCAUUUUAUACAAUAACUUUCUUUUUGUAGAUGCCCUCGAGCUCUGGCCUCUACUGUGACUUCACAUGAUUAUAGAUUCUAUAGAUACAUG
This is an unclassified non-coding RNA of Erinaceus europaeus (western European hedgehog), 333 nucleotides long. Its record names the gene 7SK. It matches the Rfam family "7SK RNA". Rfam says of the family: 7SK was discovered as an abundant small nuclear RNA in the mid-70s but a possible function has only recently been suggested. Two independent studies have found that 7SK RNA binds the CDK9/cyclin T complex (known as elongation factor P-TEFb). The record is from Ensembl. Lineage: Eukaryota; Metazoa; Chordata; Mammalia; Eulipotyphla; Erinaceidae.